CUACGGGAGGCAGCAGUGAGGAAUAUUGCACAAUGGGGGGAACCCUGAUGCAGCAACGCCGCGUGGAGGAUGACGCAUUUCGGUGUGUAAACUCCUUUUAUAUGCCAAGAAAAUGACGGUAGCAUAUGAAUAAGCACCGGCUAACUCCGUGCCAGCAGCCGCGGUAAUACGGAGGGUGCAAGCGUUACUCGGAAUCACUGGGCGUAAAGGACGCGUAGGCGGGUUGGAAAGUCAGGUGUGAAAUCCUACAGCUUAACUGUAGAACUGCACUUGAAACUUCUAAUCUAGAGUAUGGGAGGGGGAGAUGGAAUUAGUGGUGUAGGGGUAAGAUCCGUAGAUAUCACUAGGAAUACCUAAAGCGAAGGCGAUCUCCUGGAACAUUACUGACGCUAAGGCGUGAAAGCGUGGGGAGCAAACAGGAUUAGAUACCCUAGUAGUC
This 439-nucleotide ribosomal RNA is filed under the name uncultured bacterium. Its description in RNAcentral is "partial 16S ribosomal RNA". It matches the Rfam family "Bacterial small subunit ribosomal RNA", at positions 339 to 795 of the family's 1533-position model. The record is from RNAcentral.